Molecule: ribosomal RNA, 519 nt
Filed under: uncultured bacterium
Lineage: Bacteria
Description: partial 16S ribosomal RNA
Rfam family: Bacterial small subunit ribosomal RNA
Source: RNAcentral
GACGAACGCUGGCGGCGUGCCUAAUACAUGCAAGUCGAGCGAGUCUGCCUUGAAGAUCGGAGUGCUUGCACUCUGUGAAACAAGAUACAGGCUAGCGGCGGACGGGUGAGUAACACGUGGGUAACCUGCCCAAGAGAUCGGGAUAACACCUGGAAACAGAUGCUAAUACCGGAUAACAACAGAUGAUGCCUAUCAACUGUUUAAAAGAUGGUUCUGCUAUCACUCUUGGAUGGACCUGCGGUGCAUUAGCUAGUUGGUAGGGUAACGGCCUACCAAGGCGAUGAUGCAUAGCCGAGUUGAGAGACUGAUAGGCCACAUUGGGACUGAGACACGGCCCAAACUCCUACGGGAGGCAGCAGUAGGGAAUCUUCCACAAUGGACGCAAGUCUGAUGGAGCAACGCCGCGUGAGUGAAGAAGGGUUUCGGCUCGUAAAGCUCUGUUGUUGGUGAAGAAGGACAGGGGUAGUAACUGACCUUUGUUUGACGGUAAUCAAUUAGAAAGUCACGGCUAACUACGUG